This 519-nucleotide ribosomal RNA is filed under the name Maudiozyma exigua. RNAcentral's name for it is "Kazachstania exigua partial large subunit ribosomal RNA". It matches the Rfam family "Eukaryotic large subunit ribosomal RNA", at positions 121 to 656 of the family's 3401-position model. Lineage: Eukaryota; Fungi; Ascomycota; Saccharomycetes; Saccharomycetales; Saccharomycetaceae. The record is from RNAcentral.
UCUGGUACCUUCGGUGCCCGAGUUGUAAUUUGUAGAGGGCGACUUUGGGGCGGCUCCUUGUCUAUGUUCCUUGGAACAGGACGUCAUAGAGGGUGAGAAUCCCGUGUGGCGAGGAGUGCGGUUCCGUGUAAAGCGCUCUCGAAGAGUCGAGUUGUUUGGGAAUGCAGCUCUAAGUGGGUGGUAAAUUCCAUCUAAAGCUAAAUAUUGGCGAGAGACCGAUAGCGAACAAGUACAGUGAUGGAAAGAUGAAAAGAACUUUGAAAAGAGAGUGAAAAAGUACGUGAAAUUGUUGAAAGGGAAGGGCAUUUGAUCAGACAUGGUGUUUUGUGCCCCUCGCUCCUUGUGGGUGGGGGAAUCUCGCAGCUCACUGGGCCAGCAUCAGUUUUGGCGGUCGGAUAAAACCAGGGGAACGUAGCUUGCUUCGGGAAGUAUUAUAGCCUCUGGGAAUACGGCCAGCCGGGACUGAGGAACGCGAUUCGUCAAGGAUGCUGGCAUAAUGGUUAUAUGCCGCCCGUCUUG